CGACAAGCGGAGGAGCAUGUGGUUUAAUUCGAUGAUACGCGAGGAACCUUACCUGGGCUCGAACGUAAGAUGACUGUAGGUGAAAGCUUACAUCUCUUCGGAGCAUUUUACGAGGUGCUGCAUGGUUGUCGUCAGCUCGUGCCGUGAGGUGUCGGGUUAAGUCCCAUAACGAGCGCAACCCCUACCUUUAGUUGCCAUCAGGUAAUGCUGGGGACUCUAAAGGAACUGCCUACGCAAGUAGUGAGGAAGGCGGGGAUGACGUCAAAUCAGCACGGCCCUUACGUCCAGGGCUACACACGUGCUACAAUGGCCGAUACAGAGGGCAGCUACCUGGUGACAGGAUGCAAAUCUCCAAAGUCGGUCUCAGUUCGGAUCGGAGUCUGCAACCCGACUCCGUGAAGUUGGAUUCGCUAGUAAUCGUGGAUCAGCAUGCCACGGUGAAUACGUUCCCGGGCCUU
Molecule: ribosomal RNA, 458 nt
Filed under: uncultured Sphingobacteriales bacterium
Lineage: Bacteria; Pseudomonadati; Bacteroidota; Sphingobacteriia; Sphingobacteriales
Description: bacterial SSU rRNA
Rfam family: Bacterial small subunit ribosomal RNA
Source: RNAcentral